UCAGCUACGGGGCUACGGCCCCGAUGUUGAACCCUUGUGUAAACAAAACCACGUUGCCCCGGGGGCGACCCCGCCGCGCGGUACCGCCGCGCUGGCGAGGGGCCCCCGGCGGUCCACUAAACACUGCAUCAAUGCGUCUGAGCGAUUAUUAAAUCAAUCAA
This 161-nucleotide unclassified non-coding RNA is filed under the name uncultured Phaeotheca. Its description in RNAcentral is "sequence contains ITS1". Lineage: Eukaryota; Fungi; Ascomycota. The record is from RNAcentral.